RNAcentral lists this ribosomal RNA (714 nucleotides) under Triticum aestivum (bread wheat). RNAcentral's name for it is "partial small subunit ribosomal RNA". The record is from RNAcentral. Lineage: Eukaryota; Viridiplantae; Streptophyta; Magnoliopsida; Poales; Poaceae.
AUGGCAGCAGCCGGAUCGGGGCGGCGGCGGAAGGCCAUGGAGGGUGUGGUGCAUGCGGGCGAAACCAACAUGGGUUGGUGGAGCAACGGAUGCGGGCAUGGCACCCCAAGUGUGGGAAGAAUAAAAUGUAAUUCAAUCGUUGGGUGUAUUGUUCAGAUGAGUUCGUCCUGUGCUAGAAGAAAAUCGCCAUGCCCAGACGGCAGUGCCAGGUGUGCCUUAUUUCAAGCUGCUGAGAAGAAAACCGCUGCACCAGAAGAACCUAUGCAGAAGCUUGAUGCAGAAGACGAGGUGAGCUCUGGUGGUAAAGCUGAAGCUUCUUCACCUCCUGUUGAAGAGAAGGAUGGUAAAUAUGGCCAGGCUCAAUUUCUCCUUGAUGACAUCGCAAGAAAAGAAUGGUGGUCUUAUGCGAGUCGCUUCGCCAUCCAACAACACUCCAUUGCACUACUUUUUGUCCAGCUUCAAGCCGAGCCAGUGAAUCUAAAAUGCUUUUCUGGAUCUGGCAAGGCCCCGUGUAUUGUUCGUCCUCAUGCUGCUUAUAUUCCAUGCUUGCAUGGAUAUGAGGAGACAGCUCUAUUGUUGGUAGUGACUGCAAACAUGGACUCCUCUUCGCUGGACGGGGAAAACAAAAAUAAUAAUCUAGUAGGCAGUAAAAUUACAUGGCUGAUCUCGGUUUUGUACAUCUUAGGUGAGCAUUAUGAGUUCUACUUCCCAUAA